Molecule: long non-coding RNA, 606 nt
Organism: Humulus lupulus (European hop)
Lineage: Eukaryota; Viridiplantae; Streptophyta; Magnoliopsida; Rosales; Cannabaceae
Exons: 2
Source: RefSeq, a predicted model, not a curated record
CAUAUCUUAUUAAUUAAUCAAACAAUGAAAAAUAUAUUUUAAUAAAUUAAAUUAUUUUUAAAAAUCUAUUUAAAUAGUUUUCUAAAAAUUAACAAAAAUAAUUCAGAUUUAAUUAAAAAAAACAUUAAACAUUAUACUAACAAACUUAAUAUUAAUAAAAAAAUUCCUAAAACGAAAUUAGAAAAAAAAAAUGUUUCUAUCUCCCUCAUCCUCAUCCUCAUCCUCGUAUUUUUCUUCUCCUUCUUGAUGCUAAUCAAAGCUCAAAAAUUAAAAACACCAAUCGAUUUGGUUCACGGGGGGAGUGGGACAUUAGAUCAAAGCUCAUGAUGUCGAUCUACUGCAGUUUGGGGCUUGUAGCCUUAGGCCUUCGAUGGGAGGGAAAACAUCGUAGAUUGGUGGAGCUCGAAGCACUUCAAUUCGGGACAACGACAAAGCUCCUUCCUGAUAGAGUGAUCUCUCGUGGGCUCACUAGUGGUGGAGGAAUCGAUUGGAUGACGAGAUCUGGAUUUCUACAGCUAGGUUGUGGGGAAGAAGAGGUCGACGAGGACGGGGUCGGGGAAGAAGAUAUCGACAACCAGACAUGAGUUUCUUGUUUUUGUUUUUUUU